Molecule: long non-coding RNA, 1312 nt
Filed under: Lonchura striata (white-rumped munia)
Lineage: Eukaryota; Metazoa; Chordata; Aves; Passeriformes; Estrildidae
Description: domestica (Bengalese finch) lncRNA (ENSLSDG00000003325.1)
Source: RNAcentral
GUCCCAGGUGUGCCCAGGUGUGUCCCAGCUGUGUCUCACCUGUCCCAGGUGUGCCCAGGUGUGUCCCAGCUGUGUCUCACCUGUCUCAGGUGUGUCUCACCUGUCCCAGCUGUGCCCAGGUGUGUCCCAGCUGUGUCUCACCUGUCCCAGCUGUGUCUCACCUGUCCCAGGUGUGUCUCACCUAUCUCAGCUGUGUCCCAGCUGUGUCUCACCUAUCUCAGGUGUGUUUCCAGGUGUGUCUCACCUGUCCCAGGUGUGUCUCACCUGUCUCAGCUGUGUCCCAGGUGUGUCUCACCUGUCCCAGCUGUGUCUCACCUAUCUCAGGUGUGUUUCCAGGUGUGUCUCACCUGUCCCAGGUGUGUCUCACCUGUCUCAGCUGUGUCCCAGGUGUGUCUCACCUGUCCCAGGUGUGUCUCACCUGUCCCAGGUGUGUCUCCAGGUGUGUCUCACCUGUCUCAGCUGUGUCCCAGGUGUGUCUCACCUGUCCAGGUGUGUCUCACCUUGAUGAAGGCGUAGCCAGUGCUGUUGUCGGUGAUGGUCAGCCCCAGCUGUGCCCAGCUGUGUCUCCAGGUGUGUCUCACCUAUCUCAGGUGCGUCUCACCUGUCCAGGUGUGUCUCACCUGUCUCAGGUGUGUCCCAGGUGUGUCUCACCUGUCUCAGGUGUGUCUCCAGGUGUGUGUUACCUGUCCCAGGUGUGUCUCACCUGUCUCAGGUGUGUCCCAGGUGUGUCUCACCUGUCUCAGGUGUGUCUCCAGGUGUGUCUCACCUGUCCCAGCUGUGCCCAGGUGUGUCUCACCUGUCUCAGGUGUGUCUCACCUAUCUCAGGUGUGUCUCACCUGUCUCAGGUGUGUCUCCAGGUGUGUCUCACCUUGAUGAAGGCGUAGUCGGCGCCGUUGUCGGUGAUGGUCAGCCCCAGCUGUGCCCAGGUGUGUCUCACCUGUCCCAGGUGUGUCUCCAGGUGUGUCUCACCUGUCCCAGCUGUGUCUCACCUAUCUCAGGUGUGUCUCACCUAUCUCAGGUGUGUCUCCAGGUGUGUCUCACCUGUCCCAGCUGUGUCUCACCUAUCUCAGGUGUGUCUCCAGGUGUGUCUCACCUGUCCCAGCUGUGUCCCAGGUGUGUCUCACCUAUCUCAGGUGUGUCUCACCUGUCUCAGCUGUGUCCCAGGUGUGUCUCACCUAUCUCAGGUGUGUCUCACCUGUCCCAGGUGUGUCUCCAGGUGUGUCUCACCUGUCCCAGGUGUGUCUCACCUGUCUCAGGUGUGUCUCCAGGUGUGUCUCACCUGUCCCAGCUGUGUCUCACCUAUCUCAGGUGU